GUUGUGCAUGAUUAAUUGCUUUAGCACUACACCACACAAUAACCCGUGGCUGGACUUGGGCCACUAGUUUUAGGAUGGUAUUGAGAUUGGUUCUAGCGUUCACCGUGGGAUCAUGGUCGAAAGUUAGUCCAAAUUCAAUCCCGAAUCUUUUUCCAAAAAUGAGUUUAAAAAAUUAGAACUCAUGCCCGGUAGGAUUACCGAAGCAAGAGUUAUGAUUUUUAACUCGAGAAGCCGCUGUGAAAUGACGCGGCUAAUCCUGGUUACAUCGUAGGAUUACGAUUAAUCUUGAUUAUGUGCGCGAGAUUGUCGCCUUGCCGCAAGUCUUUUGCUUCAAUUUGUCAGCCUCUAGGAUAGAUAGAAUAAGGUUAACUUACGAAUCAUGUGCAUGUCCAGGUGAUUACAUGAGAUUUUUGGCGGUGAA
This is a long non-coding RNA of Rhodamnia argentea, 421 nucleotides long. RefSeq lists it as uncharacterized. NCBI's taxonomy places the organism in Eukaryota, Viridiplantae, Streptophyta, Magnoliopsida, Myrtales, Myrtaceae. The record is from RefSeq and is a predicted model, not a curated record. The transcript is spliced from 3 exons.